Long non-coding RNA from Nematolebias whitei (Rio pearlfish), 425 nucleotides. RefSeq lists it as uncharacterized. NCBI's taxonomy places the organism in Eukaryota, Metazoa, Chordata, Actinopteri, Cyprinodontiformes, Rivulidae. The transcript is spliced from 5 exons. The record is from RefSeq and is a predicted model, not a curated record.
GGUCUUUUAGUUUGCAGCAGCCAUGGCACGCGCUUCGGAAGGGUUUUGUUCGGCGAAAUGUCCUCCUGCGGGUCCUGGUGGUCCUGGAUCCGUUAAGGAAGUGGGACCCUGCGGUGCUGGCUGAGGGGCCACGUCCUGAUGAACAAUAAGGGCCGAAAUGCUGGGUCCUGAAGUUCCAGGUUGUGUCUGUCACUGAGGGAUGAAGAAGCCAGAGGUUCUGCUGACCAACAUCUGGAGCAGCAGGCCUGCAGGGAGCUGCGCUGACCAGCUGCAGGUCGAUCCAACUGGAUGAACUGGAGCCGGUCCAGCAGCUGCUCAGUCCCAGAUUGAACUGGACUUUAUCAUUUUCAGUUUAAUACUUGGUACUGGGGGCGGCUGUGGCUGAGUGGUUAGAGCAGUCGUCCUCAAAUGGGAGAGUUGGGGGU